RNAcentral lists this signal recognition particle RNA (300 nucleotides) under Vombatus ursinus (common wombat). Its description in RNAcentral is "Metazoan signal recognition particle RNA (ENSVURG00010017557.1)". It matches the Rfam family "Metazoan signal recognition particle RNA". From Rfam's summary of the family: The signal recognition particle (SRP) is a universally conserved ribonucleoprotein. It is involved in the co-translational targeting of proteins to membranes. Lineage: Eukaryota; Metazoa; Chordata; Mammalia; Diprotodontia; Vombatidae. The record is from Rfam by way of RNAcentral.
CCUGGGCAUUGUGGUGAGUUCUUGUGAUCUUUGUUGCCUGGGAGGCAGCAGCUGGUGUAUUACUUGAGCUUGAGAAUUCUGAGCUGCAGGGAGGUAAACUAAUCAGGCGUCUCCACUUAAGCAAAGAGCUAAUAUGAUGAGCUUAGAGGAGCAGGAGCCAUCAGGAUGUCUAAAAAGAGGCAAACCACUCCAGGUUAGAAAUGGAGCAAGUCAAAACUUCUACACUGAUCAGUAUUGGGAUAGAGCCUGAGAGCAGCCACUGUAUUUCUAUCCUAGGUGAGAUAGGGAGACCCUCUCUCU